GGCUGGUCCAAAGGUAGUGAGUACCCCUAGUUGAUCACAGUUACAGAUUGAGCUCUUGUUCUCCUCUUCCCCCCUUUCUCACUACUGCACUUUACCCAUCAUAG
This is an unclassified non-coding RNA of Otolemur garnettii (small-eared galago), 104 nucleotides long. It matches the Rfam family "Y RNA". Rfam says of the family: Y RNAs are components of the Ro ribonucleoprotein particle (Ro RNP), in association with Ro60 and La proteins. The Y RNAs and Ro60 and La proteins are well conserved, but the function of the Ro RNP is not known. In humans the RNA component can be one of four small RNAs -- hY1, hY3, hY4 and hY5. Lineage: Eukaryota; Metazoa; Chordata; Mammalia; Primates; Galagidae. The record is from Ensembl.